GAUGAAGAACGUAGCGAAAUGCGAUAAGUAAUGUGAAUUGCAGAAUUCCGUGAAUCAUCGAAUCUUUGAACGCAAAUUGCGCCCCCUGGUAUUCCGGGGGGCAUGCCUGUCCGAGCGUCAUUGCAACCUUCAAGCGCGGCUUGUGUGUUGGGUCUCGUCCCCCGUGGACGGGCCCGAAAGGCAGUGGCGGCGUCCCGACAUGGUGCCCGAGCGUAUGGGAAUCCUCUUCCGCUCGAAUCGGCCCAUGCGGCGCUGGUCGUAACCAAAUUUUUUACCGGUUGACCUCGGAUCAGGUAGGGAUACCCGCUGAACUUAAGCAUAUCAAUAAGCGGAGGA
This 336-nucleotide unclassified non-coding RNA is filed under the name soil metagenome. RNAcentral describes it as "partial contains 5.8S ribosomal RNA, internal transcribed spacer 2, and large subunit ribosomal RNA". The stretch from base 1 to 120 matches the Rfam family "5.8S ribosomal RNA", at positions 35 to 154 of the family's 154-position model. The record is from RNAcentral.